This 457-nucleotide long non-coding RNA is filed under the name Anas platyrhynchos platyrhynchos (common mallard). RNAcentral describes it as "lncRNA (ENSAPLG00000029071.1)". Lineage: Eukaryota; Metazoa; Chordata; Aves; Anseriformes; Anatidae. The record is from RNAcentral.
AUUUGAUGGUCUUUCAACAAUCUGCUCAGCUACAUUUGCUGAUCUUCUGGGGCACCUAUUUUGUACAUUAUGUGUAAUAGCACUUCUGAAAACAUAGCUGAGGUUGCCUUAUAUUUCAUUUUCUUGUUUUAGGUAAAUAUCCUCUGUUCUUUCUUCUAGAUAUGUUUCCAGACACUUGGCAAUCUCCUGAGCUUCUAAAUUGGAGUGGUCAUGUUCUCCAUUGCCCUGAUUGUUCGUUGGGAAUCAAUGGAAGAUUUUGCCUGAUAUCCAUUUGCAUUAGAGAGAUUCUGCCAACACCUGUGACCCAUGUGAAAUAUUGACAGGUAAAUUCAAGAACAAACAACCUAUUUAAUUCAAGUAGAAUAGAAUGACUUUCUUCAUAUUUUCUGAAUUCUCUCUCUCUCUUUUUUUUAUUUUUUUUAAUAAAAAAAAAAGAUAAUGUAUUUUAGAUAUUGCU